GAAGGCUGUCUGGAAGAAGCAAUGGCUUUGUAAAUUCUUUUUUUUUUCCAGUAAACUACUGAAAAAAUAUUCAAUAAUUAAAAAAAAAAUUUGUUGAAAUAAAGCCUUGUGCCAUGCCUUGGCUUAAGAGGCAGAAAUAUGUGACAAAAAGAUUGUGUUAAACCAGGAGCUUCCUCAUUCUCCCUGAGAGUUUGCAAGGGUCACUUCCUGAAAAGCUUAGGUUGGUUUUUGAUUUAUUCCCCUAGAGCCGUGAUGAUUCACAGCAACAACUCGACAAGUCUCCUGAAAAAAAUCACACAAUCCCAUCCAUCUGAGGAUUUAGGUGCAGUGUCCACGUGUAGACACAAACCAAAGAUGCGUCUCUGCCAAAUUUCUGCACACCAACCCGCAAAGAUUCCUCAGUCCCAGGUCAAACUACACAAAGCCGGGUUGAUGGUACUUCAUAGAUUAUUUUGCCCUUUGGAGGUUUGUUCAGCAGUGUCCAAACAUGUAUUUUAUGAAAUCCCCUUGCUCUUUGCUGUGCAAGGUAAUUUAUACGCUACAAAACAAGCGCGGCGAGAGUUGAACAGUCUGGAUCAGAUCUCGUCUCUGUAUCUCUACAGCACCACAAAAACUGUCCAUCCUCCUCCUGUUGUGUCCCCAGGAGAACAUGCUCCAGCUGAAGCUGAGGAGUGCAUCUGUCCAGGCAGAGCACACACAUCCACACAAUCCCCUCUCAACCGGCUUGCGCUUUUUGGAAACAGGAAUUUGGAACUCUGGGCCGCGAUCACGGGGGCAAAUGGACAAACCUAGCAGGGGAGCUGGCCACAAUUUAAACUGUGCCUGUGGAUUUUGUCAAGCAGAGUCGUGCAGCUUUUCCACUGCUUCAGCUGAGUGGGAUGUACGGCAGCUCAGAGCUUGUAAAAUGGGGCUGCUCUUUCAGAUGCCAUUAUUCAGGUGCUAGAAUGUUAUUGCAUUGCUCUGCCAACAGCCUAAUAAGCACAAGGAGUGAAAUGUGGUUGAGGAAAGAAGUUGCACACUCAUUUUUCAGGGUGAUUUCCAGUUUUUGGCCGAACUGGAGGUAAUUUGCUCAGGGUAAUUUUGGCAAGUUGCUAUUGCUUUCUGAGAGGGUAACAAGAGCCAUUUAAAAACCAAAACAAAACAGCAUAGAAUUAUCUGAAAACUGCACCUUUUUUUUUUUUUUUUUUUUAAUGGAGGAAUAUCUUCUUUUUAAGCAUGUAAAUUCUUGUUAUUAACUCUGAUGUCAAUGCCUAAUUUUCAGAUAAUCCAGCUCCUGUUGAAGCUGUUCCUUCAGCCCUCUAGUGGUAAAAGCCACCAAAGCACUAGAAUUGCAGUUAAUCUUUAUGUUCUGUUGAUAUUGCGGAUUUCACUGUGAAAACAACCCAAAUCACUAGAUGAUUUGCAGUCACUAUGUAGGACUACUCCGUGGCUGGAAAUUUUCCUGCUGUGUUACACAAAGAUUUAUUUAUUUCUUCCAUCUUCCCUUUCCUGUCUAAAAUCUAGUUUGUUUUUAAUAUUAGCAGGCAGAUUAAAAAAAAAAAACCCACAAACCAAAUAAUAAAAAUCCACCCAAUGGCAAAUGCCUUUUAAAUCAUGAAAGCAAUGAUAUUUUUUUAUAUAUAUAUGUGGGGAAAUUUAACAGCCUUGAAUACAUUUAUACUAAAAGUAAAUGGAGAUGCUCAUAUUCUUCCCAGAUAUUCCAGGAACAUCUGUUCCUUUGAAUUCCAGUGCUGCUCCAUGAGUUACAUGCAAAGUGUCCCAAAGGACUUGAAGCCAUCUGUCACGUUGCACAGGCAGAAAUGCACCCACCUCUGGGGCUGUGACAGAGGGACAAUCCUCUCAGUACCCAGGACAGCCAAGCAACACUUGGUGAGUGGGAUGCAAUUACCCAUAACGAAAUUUAGCCAAGGAUUUGUGACUGCAGCACAUCAUCCUAUCUGUUAUUAACAUGGUGAUUAAUGAUCUUUUGUGCAUCAUUAAUCUACCAUUACUCUAUUAUUCCAGGAUGUCCAGCACUGGAUUGUUUAACAGCUUAGAAAAGGCUUUUACACACAAAAAAAGUGACAGUCAGGUCUCUUUUCACUGCAGGAGAAACCUUGUGAGAAACGUAGAAAAUGAAGACUGUGCUGUGGUGCCUUUUUAUUGCUAGAAUUAGAAAAUUGGAAGCCGAUUUUAUGAAGCUGCAGUGGUCAUUUCUUUUCUGUUUACUUGUCUCAGCAUUAUUUUAAAAUGUAUUAAGAGAAGUUCGGGGAGGAAUUUUUGUUGAUUCAGAGCACAAGUUGCACUGAUUUGAAGAGGGUUUUAAUCUGUUACAGGCAUUCAUUUGCUAGGAGAACACCUGAAGAGGGACCAAAAGUAAUAUCAGAGCUGGAGAAGUGGUCAGUAUUGCCACUAGUGCUGUCUCUGUGUGCUGUGGGAAGUGAUCAGUAUUACCAUCAGUGCUGUCUCUGCAUGCUGUGGUGUAUGAUCUAGGAAUCCCACUCUGUUUGCCAAAGCCAAAUACUAAAGGAUAUCUUCUGCCUUCUGAAGGGCUGAACACAUCAGAAGCAUUACAAAGGCCAGAUUUGGUGCCUUUAGAACAACAGGGUUCAUUAGGGUUUUUUGACUUUCUGUUAGGAAUAAUCAUAUAAUAACCAAAACUCUGAAAUAAGUACAAAUCCCCAAACUCAGUGGCUGGAAAGCAAGUGGUUCCCUAAAAAUCCCUUCUGUCAGUCAUGUCUUCUUCACAUUCAAGUUCUUCUUUACUAUGAGGCCUGCCUGGCUUAUGAAAACACCUUUCCCUGGAGGGAUCUUAUCUUUAAUAAAAAUCUCCAUGUGUUCAAUCAGUCUCGUAUUACCGAGUCACUCCUGGUGCACUGAAUUGGUCUUCUGCUUUCACGGACAAAUCUCCCUGGCAGGCUGCCCAUUUCUUUCCAGUUAUGACAAGAAUAUUAAUCACUCUCUGAUUGGUGUGUGCUCCAUCAUCGGGGCACAUCAUAAAUCACUGGGAGGUCCUUUCACAGCUGGUUAAAGUCACACCUCAGGGCUUUGCCCAGCACGGGCCUUCCCAAUCUACGUGGGCAUCUUUCCUACACUCAUGUCUUGUACCUUGAGGAGUGUUCUCCAAAGGGCUUCACAAACCUUGUCUUUCAAAAGCUGCCCUAUACUCCCCAGCACUUCCAGUAGAUAUCAAAGUCAUCCUCACUAAUCCUCCUUCACUGAAAGGUUGGGUGACCAGUCAUACAGCCUGGAGGAGAUGGAAAAAUACGACCAGUGGGGGAAGAGAGAGCAGGAUUCUCUCUUAAAUCCACGUGGGGCACAGAGGUGGCCAGAUAGUGUAAAAACCAGCCCAGGUUUCUCUCCUCGAACCCAACCUCGAGAAAUAUGACUUUAAAUAUGACAACAGGACUUUGUCAUGAGUGCCAGCAUUUCUUCAGAAAACCUCACAAUUAUCCAUGUUCUGGAAUUCCUUUUCCAUAGCACAGGCAGGUUAUUAGCCUGAGAGGGCAGACACUA
Long non-coding RNA from Myiozetetes cayanensis, 3495 nucleotides. RefSeq lists it as uncharacterized. NCBI's taxonomy places the organism in Eukaryota, Metazoa, Chordata, Aves, Passeriformes, Tyrannidae. The transcript is spliced from 3 exons. The record is from RefSeq and is a predicted model, not a curated record.